RNAcentral lists this transfer RNA (90 nucleotides) under Gammaproteobacteria bacterium. RNAcentral's name for it is "tRNA-Ser". It matches the Rfam family "tRNA". Rfam says of the family: Transfer RNA (tRNA) molecules are approximately 80 nucleotides in length. Their secondary structure includes four short double-helical elements and three loops (D, anti-codon, and T loops). Lineage: Bacteria; Pseudomonadati; Pseudomonadota; Gammaproteobacteria. RNAcentral also lists the same sequence under 1 other name. The record is from RNAcentral.
GGAGGGGUGGCAGAGCGGUUUAAUGCACUGGUCUUGAAAACCAGCGAGGGUGAAAGUCCUCCGUCGGUUCGAAUCCGACCUCCUCCGCCA